CAAUAGCGUAUAUUAAAGUUGUUGCGGUUAAAAAGCUCGUAGUUGGAUUUCUGCCGAGGACGACCGGUCCGCCCUCUGGGUGAGCAUCUGGGACGGCCUGGGCAUCCUCUUGGGGAACGUAGCUGCACUUGACUGUGUGGUGCGGUAUCCAGGACUUUUACUUUGAGGAAAUUAGAGUGUUCACGGCAGGCAAACGCCCUGAAUAUGUUAGCAUGGAAUAAUAAUAUAGGACUUUGGUUUUAUUUUGUUUGGUUUCUAGAACUAAAGUAAAUGAUAAAUAAGGGACAGUUGGGGGUUAGUUUGUAUUAAUGCGUCAGAGGUGGAAUUCUUGGAUUGCAUUACGACAAACUACUGCGAAAGCAUUUACCAAGGAUGUUUUUCUAUUGAUCAAGAACGAAAG
This 400-nucleotide ribosomal RNA is filed under the name uncultured eukaryote. RNAcentral describes it as "bacterial SSU rRNA". It matches the Rfam family "Eukaryotic small subunit ribosomal RNA", at positions 592 to 989 of the family's 1831-position model. The record is from RNAcentral.